RNAcentral lists this ribosomal RNA (460 nucleotides) under uncultured bacterium. RNAcentral describes it as "partial 16S ribosomal RNA". It matches the Rfam family "Bacterial small subunit ribosomal RNA", at positions 338 to 795 of the family's 1533-position model. The record is from RNAcentral.
CCUACGGGAGGCAGCAGUGAGGAAUAUUGGUCAAUGGACGAGAGUCUGAACCAGCCAAGUAGCGUGAAGGAUGACUGCCCUAUGGGGUGUAAACUUCUGUUAUAAAGGAAUAAAACGAGGCACGUGUGCCUUUUUGCAUGUACUUUAUGAAUAAGGAUCGGCUAACUCCGUGCCAGCAGCCGCGAUAAUACGGAGGAUCCGAGCUUUAUCCGGAUUUAUUGGGUUUAAAGGGAGCGUAGAUGGGUUGUUAAGUCAGUUGUGAAAGUUUGCGGCUCAACCGUAAAAUUGCAAUUGAUACUGGCAGUCUUGAGUACAGUUGAGGUAGGCGGAAUUCGUUGUGUAUCGGUUAAAUGCUUAGAUAUCACGAAGAACCCCGAUUGCGAAGGCAGCUUACUAAACUGUGACUGACAUUGAUGCUCGAAAGUGUGGGUAUCAAACAGGAUUAGAUACCCUAGUAGUC